Molecule: ribosomal RNA, 798 nt
Filed under: Triticum aestivum (bread wheat)
Lineage: Eukaryota; Viridiplantae; Streptophyta; Magnoliopsida; Poales; Poaceae
Description: partial small subunit ribosomal RNA
Source: RNAcentral
AUGGCAGAAUGCUUCAAUAAGGUGCUCAAGGGUGUACGUGCAUUACCCGUGACGGCAAUAGUUCAAUACACAUUUGACAAGAUGAAUGGAUACCUUUUGAAGUAUUCAAUGGAGACGGAUAAGCAGAUUGCUGGUGAGAACAAGGAUAAGCACAAGUACUAUUUCCCACCAAAGGUUGAAGAAUGGUUGGACUUUCAAUCAUGAAAGGCAGACUCCCAAGAAGCUGUACUAUAUGACAACAACGAGUGGAAGUAUGAGGUGAAAGAGCCUGGAGGAACCACAAACGAUGGCCACCAACACGGAGGCCGCGCUUUCAAGGUCUCCCUAACACGGUGUGAUUGCAGCUGCAUGAGGCCAUCGUUGCUUCAUCUCCCAUGCUCGCACUUGUUAAAUGCAGCCCGUGUUAGGAAUGUGGACGUCAAUCACCCUCUUACCGUGAGGGAGUCCAAGUUCUCAAUCAUGACGGUAAAGAAUACAUGGGCUCCCCGGUUUCAGCCAUACUUGGACCAAUCACAAUGGUCGGAGUAUCAUGGAGUUCAACUAUGGCCGGACACAAAAUUGAAGGUCGUUAGACGGGGAAUACGUAAGACAAAGCGUCUUAGAGGUGACAUGGAUGGAUGGGGCCGUGGUGGCGGUGGAGAAUACGGCACCGGCCAAUUCCAAGAGCCUCGUGAGCAAUCCCGUUGUGGGGACUGCAGUCAUGGGGGACACAACACAAGAACUUGUCCCAAAUCAAGAAAAAGAUCAAAGAAAAAUGAUGCAAGCACAAGCCAAGCAAAUGAUAGCCAACCAAGUUAA